GACGAACGCUGGCGGCGUGCUUAACACAUGCAAGUCGAACGGAAAGGCCCCAUUGGGGGUUCUCGGGUGGCGGACGGGGGCGUAACACGUGCGUAAGCUGCCCUUGACUAUGGGACAAGUAUAAGAAACUGGGGCUAAUACCGGAAAGGAAUCCUUUCUGCAUGGUGGGGGUUGGAAAGCUUCGGCGGGUCUUGCUGUACUUGCGGGAUAUCUGCUUGUUGGUGGGGUUAUGGCUUACCAAGGCGUUGACGUGAAGCCGGCCUGUGUGGCCGACCGGCCACAUUGGGACCGAGAGAAGGCCGAGGCACCGACGGGUGGGAGCAGUGGGGAAGAUUGCAGAAGGGGCGGAAGCCUGAUGCAGAAAGGCCGCGGGCGGGAUGACGGCCUUAGGGUUGUAAACCGCUUGCAGCAGGGGCGGAGCUUGUGGUGACGGUACCUGCAGAAGAAGCACCGGCUAACUACGUG
This 465-nucleotide ribosomal RNA is filed under the name uncultured bacterium. RNAcentral describes it as "partial 16S ribosomal RNA". It matches the Rfam family "Bacterial small subunit ribosomal RNA", at positions 28 to 507 of the family's 1533-position model. The record is from RNAcentral.